GAGUUUGAUCCUGGCUCAGGACGAACGCUGGCGGCGCGCCUAACACAUGCAAGUCGAACGAGCGAGAGAGAGCUUGCUUUCUCGAGCGAGUGGCGAACGGGUGAGUAACGCGUGAGGAACCUGCCUCAAAGAGGGGGACAACAGUUGGAAACGACUGCUAAUACCGCAUAAGCCCACAGGUCGGCAUCGACCAGAGGGAAAAGGAGCAAUCCGCUUUGAGAUGGCCUCGCGUCCGAUUAGCUGGUUGGUGAGGUAACGGCCCACCAAGGCGACGAUCGGUAGCCGGACUGAGAGGUUGAACGGCCACAUUGGGACUGAGACACGGCCCAGACUCCUACGGGAGGCAGCAGUGGGGAAUAUUGCACAAUGGGGGAAACCCUGAUGCAGCGACGCCGCGUGGAGGAAGAAGGUCUUCGGAUUGUAAACUCCUGUUGUUGAGGAAGAUAAUGACGGUACUCAACAAGGAAGUGACGGCUAACUACGUGCCAGCAGCCGCGGUAAAACGUAGGUCACAAGCGUUGUCCGGAAUUACUGGGUGUAAAGGGAGCGCAGGCGGGAAGACAAGUUGGAAGUGAAAUCUAUGGGCUCACCCAUAAACUGCUUUCAAAACUGUUUUUCUUGAGUAGUGCAGAGUAGGCGGAAUUCCCGGUGUAGCGGUGGAAUGCGUAGAUAUCGGGAGGAACACCAGUGGCGAAUGCGGCCUACAGGGCACCAACUGACGCUGAGGCUCGAAAGUGUGGGUAGCANACAGGAUUAGAUACCCUGGUAGUCCACACCGUAAACGAUGAUUACUAGGUGUUGGAGGAUUGACCCCUUCAGUGCCGCAGUUAACACAAUAAGUAAUCCACCUGGGGAGUACGACCGCAAGGUUGAAACUCAAAGGAAUUGACGGGGGCCCGCACAAGCAGUGGAGUAUGUGGUUUAAUUCGACGCAACGCGAAGAACCUUACCAAGUCUUGACAUCCCUUGACGAUGCUGGAAACAGUAUUUCUCUUCGGAGCAAGGAGACAGGUGGUGCAUGGUUGUCGUCAGCUCGUGUCGUGAGAUGUUGGGUUAAGUCCCGCAACGAGCGCAACCCUUACUGUCAGUUACUACGCAAGAGGACUCUGGCAGGACUGCCGUUGACAAAACGGAGGAAGGUGGGGAUGACGUCAAAUCAUCAUGCCCUUUAUGACUUGGGCUUCACACGUACUACAAUGGCGUUAAACAAAGAGAAGCAAGACCGCGAGGUGGAGCAAAACUCAGAAACAACGUCCCAGUUCGGACUGCAGGCUGCAACUCGCCUGCACGAAGUCGGAAUUGCUAGUAAUCGUGGAUCAGCAUGCCACGGUGAAUACGUUCCCGGGCCUUGUACACACCGCCCGUC
This 1366-nucleotide ribosomal RNA is filed under the name uncultured bacterium. Its description in RNAcentral is "bacterial SSU rRNA". It matches the Rfam family "Bacterial small subunit ribosomal RNA". The record is from RNAcentral.